GGCGCCGUCAAGUAGCCCCGGGAACGGCCGGCGUUUCGGAGCCGGUGGGCGGCUGGAGGCUGGGGCGCUCGGCCGGUUCCCGCUGGACCUCGGCCAGUGCCCGCGCGGCCGCGUUCCCGCAGCGCUGUCCACGUCGGCCCGCCAUGCGCCCGCCGGCCCCGGCCGUGCUGGGGCUGCUGCUUCUGAUGCUGCUGUCGCCCGGCGAGGCCACCAAGAAGCCGACGCCCUGCAAGCGAUGCCGGGAGCUGGUGGACAAGUUCAACCAGGGAAUGGUGGACACAGCAAAGAAGAACUUUGGUGGUGGAAACACGGCUUGGGAGGAAAAGACGCUGUCCAAGUAUGAAUUCAGUGAGGUCCGCCUGCUGGAGAUCAUGGAGGGCCUGUGUGGGACCAGCGACUUCGAGUGCAACCAGCUGCUGGAGGAGCACGAGGGGCUCCUGGAGACCUGGUGGCUGCGGCUGAAGAAGAAGUAUCCUGACUUAUUUGAAUGGUUUUGUGUGAAAACACUGAAAGUUUGCUGUGCUCCAGGAACUUACGGGCCAGACUGCCUGGCGUGCCAGGGCGGGUCCGAGCGGCCCUGCAGCGGGAACGGCCACUGCAGCGGAGACGGCAGCAGACAGGGCGACGGGUCGUGCCAGUGCCACCCGGGGUACCGGGGACCGCUGUGCGCCGACUGCAUGGACGGCUACUUCAGCUCGCUGAGGAACGAGACGCACAGCACCUGCUCAGCCUGUGACGAGUCCUGCAAGACGUGCACGGGCCCCACCAACAGAGACUGCGGCCAGUGCGAAGCGGGCUGGGCACGGGAGGGCGACGCCUGCGUGGAUGUGGACGAAUGCGCGGUGGAGCCGCCCCCCUGCGAGGACCAGCAGUACUGCGAGAACGUCAACGGCUCCUUCGUGUGCCAGGGUGAGCGUGCCUCCCGGCCCUCCGGCUCCAGCCCCUCCUUCCCCUCCAGAGGCUUGCGGCUUGUCAGCGUGACCCCUGUGUGCUCUGCCACCUUAAAACGUUUACGGUGGCAACACAAGUGAUAGAUGUUUCCUAAAGAAGAAUCAGGAAUUCAGAUAAGUUGAAAAAAGGGGGCAACCAUCCACUCCCUGGGGAGGGGCCCCUGGCAGGCCGGUCGAGGCAGUGCUGAUCUGAGCGGCCCCUUGUUACCUGUUUGUUUUUCAUUCAACAGUAUCGUGACCGCCUUUGCAUGUCACAUUUUUGUACAUCGUGUUAAUUACUUUGGAGCAUGUUGUUAUUUCACGGUUUUCUUCAACAAUCUGUAUCAUUGAAUAUUUGUCAUACACCGUUUCCCACAGUUACAAACUUUGAAGACCCCCGUAGGUAAAGCUUCUUACAUUCUUCAUUAUUUUCUUUGGAUGAGUUUCCGAGUUGCUCAGUUCAAGGGAAUGUGGAUUUUAGGGCCACCCACCCCCCCCGAAAGGUUGAAAGGUGGUGCCGAUUCCUCGCCUUCCCCCCCCCCCGCCCCCCCCCACCGUGUCCGCGACCAUGCCGUCCUGUCUCCAUGUUUGUGGACACACAGCUUCAAUGAGACGCCCCCAAAGCAUCACACGUUCUCUGCUGUCGUUGGCACCAAGCUCCUAGCUGAAUGUGAUUCUACCUGCGUGGGAUGCACAGGGAAGGGUCCUGGACAGUGUAAAGAGUGCAUCCCCGGCUACUCGAAAG
This is an RNA transcript of Balaenoptera ricei (Rice's whale), 1674 nucleotides long. It is a transcript of the gene named cysteine rich with EGF like domains 2, with no coding region annotated. The transcript has 8 exons. NCBI's taxonomy places the organism in Eukaryota, Metazoa, Chordata, Mammalia, Artiodactyla, Balaenopteridae. The record is from RefSeq and is a predicted model, not a curated record.